GUGGGGAAUAUUGCACAAUGGGCGAAAGCCUGAUGCAGCGACGCCGCGUGAGGGAUGACGGCCUUCGGGUUGUAAACCUCUUUCGCCAGGGACGAAGCGCAAGUGACGGUACCUGGAUAAGAAGCACCGGCUAACUACGUGCCAGCAGCCGCGGUAAUACGUAGGGUGCAAGCGUUGUCCGGAAUUAUUGGGCGUAAAGAGCUCGUAGGCGGUUUGUCGCGUCGGCUGUGAAAACUGGAGGCUUAACCUUCAGCGUGCAGUCGAUACGGGCAGACUUGAGUUCGGUAGGGGAGACUGGAAUUCCUGGUGUAGCGGUGAAAUGCGCAGAUAUCAGGAGGAACACCGGUGGCGAAGGCGGGUCUCUGGGCCGAUACUGACGCUGAGGAGCGAAAGCGUGGGGAGCGAACAGGAUUAGAUACCCUAGUAGUCC
RNAcentral lists this ribosomal RNA (430 nucleotides) under uncultured bacterium. RNAcentral describes it as "bacterial SSU rRNA". It matches the Rfam family "Bacterial small subunit ribosomal RNA", at positions 354 to 796 of the family's 1533-position model. The record is from RNAcentral.